This 413-nucleotide ribosomal RNA is filed under the name uncultured bacterium. RNAcentral's name for it is "bacterial SSU rRNA". It matches the Rfam family "Bacterial small subunit ribosomal RNA", at positions 505 to 916 of the family's 1533-position model. The record is from RNAcentral.
GUGUCAGCAGCCGCGGUAAUACGUAGGUGGCGAGCGUUGUCCGGAAUUACUGGGUGUAAAGGGCGCGUAGGCGGGGAUGCAAGUCAGAUGUGAAAUUCCGGGGCUUAACCCCGGGGCUGCAUCUGAAACUGUAUCUCUUGAGUGCUGGAGAGGAAAGCGGAAUUCCUAGUGUAGCGGUGAAAUGCGUAGAUAUUAGGAGGAACACCAGUGGCGAAGGCGGCUUUCUGGACAGUAACUGACGCUGAGGCGCGAAAGCGUGGGGAGCAAACAGGAUUAGAUACCCUGGUAGUCCACGCCGUAAACGAUGGAUACUAGGUGUAGGAGGUAUCGACCCCUUCUGUGCCGGAGUUAACACAAUAAGUAUCCCACCUGGGGAGUACGGCCGCAAGGUUGAAACUUAAAUAAAUUGGCGG